UUCAGUCAAAUUUGUAUGCAGUUAGAACGUUUGCCUAUGUUUGCCAAUAGGGGCGCUGUACCAUCUGGAUACAAAUUUGAGUUA
Molecule: microRNA precursor, 84 nt
Filed under: Bombyx mori (domestic silkworm)
Lineage: Eukaryota; Metazoa; Arthropoda; Insecta; Lepidoptera; Bombycidae
Description: mir-2807 microRNA precursor family
Rfam family: mir-2807 microRNA precursor family
Source: Rfam by way of RNAcentral